RNAcentral lists this ribosomal RNA (301 nucleotides) under uncultured bacterium. RNAcentral's name for it is "partial 16S ribosomal RNA". It matches the Rfam family "Bacterial small subunit ribosomal RNA", at positions 509 to 807 of the family's 1533-position model. The record is from RNAcentral.
CAGUAGCCGCGGGAAUGCGAAGGGGGCUAGCGUUGCUCGGAAUGACUGGGCGUAAAGGGCGCGUAGGCGGUUUGUACAGUUGGAUGUGAAAUUCCUGGGCUUAACCUGGGGGCUGCAUUCAAUACGUGCAGGCUUGAGUGGGGAAGAGGGUCGUGGAAUUCCCAGUGUAGAGGUGAAAUUCGUAGAUAUCCGAAGGAACACCUGUGGCGAAAGCGGCUCACUGGACAAUAACUGACGCUGAUGCACGAAAGCUAGGGGAGCAAACAGGAUUAGAUACCCGCGUAGUCCCUGUCUCUUAUAC